This 948-nucleotide ribosomal RNA is filed under the name uncultured Gammaproteobacteria bacterium. Its description in RNAcentral is "bacterial SSU rRNA". It matches the Rfam family "Bacterial small subunit ribosomal RNA", at positions 247 to 1188 of the family's 1533-position model. The record is from RNAcentral. Lineage: Bacteria; Pseudomonadati; Pseudomonadota; Gammaproteobacteria.
UGUUGGUGGGGUAACGGCUCACCAAGGCGACGAUCCCUAGCUGGUCUGAGAGGAUGACCAGCCACACUGGAACUGAGACACGGUCCAGACUCCUACGGGAGGCAGCAGUGGGGAAUAUUGCACAAUGGGCGCAAGCCUGAUGCAGCCAUGCCGCGUGUAUGAAGAAGGCCUUCGGGUUGUAAAGUACUUUCAGCGGGGAGGAAGGGAGUAAAGUUAAUACCUUUGCUCAUUGACGUUACCCGCAGAAGAAGCACCGGCUAACUCCGUGCCAGCAGCCGCGGUAAUACGGAGGGUGCAAGCGUUAAUCGGAAUUACUGGGCGUAAAGCGCACGCAGGCGGUUUGUUAGGUCAGAUGUGAAAUCCCCGGGCUCAACCUGGGAACUGCAUCUGAUACUGGCAAGCUUGAGUCUCGUAGAGGGGGGUAGAAUUCCAGGUGUAGCGGUGAAAUGCGUAGAGAUCUGGAGGAAUACCGGUGGCGAAGGCGGCCCCCUGGACGAAGACUGACGCUCAGGUGCGAAAGCGUGGGGAGCAAACAGGAUUAGAUACCCUGGUAGUCCACGCCGUAAACGAUGUCGACUUGGAGGUUGUGCCCUCGAGGCGUGGCUUCCGGAGCUAACGCGUUAAGUCGACCGCCUGGGGAGUACGGCCGCAAGGCUAAAACUCAAAUGAAUUGACGGGGGCCCGCACAAGCGGUGGAGCAUGUGGUUUAAUUCGAUGCAACGCGAAGAACCUUACCUGGUCUUGACAUCCACGGAAGUUUUCAGAGAUGAGAAUGUGCCUUCGGGAACCGUGAGACAGGUGCUGCAUGGCUGUCGUCAGCUCGUGUUGUGAAAUGUUGGGUUAAGUCCCGCAACGAGCGCAACCCUUAUCCUUUGUUGCCAGCGGUCCGGCCGGGAACUCAAAGGAGACUGCCAGUGAUAAACUGGAGGAAGGUGGGGAUGACGUCAA